RNAcentral lists this ribosomal RNA (485 nucleotides) under uncultured bacterium. RNAcentral's name for it is "bacterial SSU rRNA". It matches the Rfam family "Bacterial small subunit ribosomal RNA", at positions 25 to 518 of the family's 1533-position model. The record is from RNAcentral.
CAGGACGAACGCUGGCGGCGUGCUUAAUACAUGCAAGUUGAGCGGAGCUAAUAGUGAGUUACUUAUUAUUAGCCGAGCAGCGGACGGGUGAGUAACGCGUGGGCAAUCUGCCCUCUAGUUUGGGAUAACAGUUCGAAAGGACUGCUAACACCGAAUAAUCUUAAAAUUUGGGCAUCUAAAUUUAAGGAAAGUUAACGCUAGAGGAUGAGCCCGCGUCCCAUUAGCUAGUUGGUGAGGUAACGGCCCACCAAGGCAACGAUGGGUAGCCGACCUGAGAGGGUGACCGGCCACACUGGGACUGAGACACCGGCCCAGACUCCUACGGGAGGCAGCAGUAGGGUAAUUUUCCGCAAUGGAAACGAAAGUCUGACGGAGCAACGCCGCGUGAGGGAUGUAAGGUUUUCGGAUCGUAAACCUCUGUCCUUGGGGAAGAUAAUGACGGUACCCAAGGAGGAAGCCACGGCUAACUACGUGCCAGCAGCCGC